This 1356-nucleotide long non-coding RNA is filed under the name Malus domestica (apple). Its description in RNAcentral is "long non-coding RNA (MDOM_LNC000028)". Lineage: Eukaryota; Viridiplantae; Streptophyta; Magnoliopsida; Rosales; Rosaceae. The record is from RNAcentral.
GCCUCAGGCGAACCAACAUGGCAGCGUGCAAUAUUGCAUGGCCCAAAACAGCGAUCAAGAGCUUGGUACGUAUGACCAACGAUCGAGCAAUCAUUUGUAAGCGCUUAAUGAAUGCCUUUAUCAAGCCGUUCUAGGUGUGAACAUGGGCUAUUGGAUGUUUAACUUCAACCCCAAUUGACAUGCAAUAGUAUCAAAAGUUUUAGAUGUGAAUUCUCCAGCAUUAUUUGGUUGGAUAAUCAGGGUGCUGAGCCCUAAGGUUGAUAACCUGAGCCAACAUUUUGGAGAAUGCGGUGUUCCGUAUGGACAACAAGCAAACAUGUGACCAACGAGUGGAACCGUCUACCAAAACUAUAAAGUAUCUAAAUGGUCUGCAUGGAGGGUGAAUCAAUCCACAAAUGUCCCCCCUAAAUCCAUUGUAGGAAAAUAGGAGGAUUCGAACGAAUCUUCUCAUAAGAAGGCUUAAUAAUAAGCUUUCCCAUGGAGUAGGCUUUGUAAUGACCAGUUUCAAAAAUUUCAUUUUACUUAGUUAAAAUUACAAAAAUAUCCUUAAUGACGGAAACAUUGACUUUUGUCCUUUGACGUAUUAGAAAUUUUCAUUUAUUUUAUUCCUGUAGCUCUUGUCGAUAUGAAUGCGUAAGUGUGACUGGAAUCGAGUUUGGAGCUAAAAUGAACCUUUUCCAAUUUUUGUACAAUAGGGUAAUCAAGUAAUUUCAUAAGUGGAGAUUUUUCUCCACUUUAGGCCUCUAUAUGGCCGACACGUGGUGAUUCCCCACCCCAUUUCUGGGGUGUUUUCUUCCCCACUCGUGAACUCUCUCUUUCUAGAACACUUUCUAGAACACCCGCUCUCUCUCGUCUCUACUUUAUUCUCUCAUCUCCAGUGAGCUCACACACACACAUACAUACGUACAUUGACCAUCACCAUCACAACCACACAAUUUUCACCACCUGGUCCUUCCUCUCUCUCCCUCGCCUCUUCGAUCCCACUCUAUCUCCUUCUCGGCACUAUGCACAAUCACCGUGCAUGUGAUUUUCCUACGAUGUAAGUCGAUCCCACCCCUAAAUACUUCUAGAUCGAGUUUGGUAGGGUGAUUAGGUAGUUUUUAAGACGUUUUAGGAUGGUUUUGGUCGCAGAAAUACUUGGAGGAAUCCUUUCCAUGUUUUUUGGCGAGUACCACACAUUUACAGAGGGAUUUCUGGCUAAUGCCAAUGAUAACUCGGCCCCAUUUUGGUACGACCUUGUCCUCCAUGUUUCUCCCUUAAAUAUGGUUUUUAAAUCAUUGUUUUUAGUUGAGCUUUGACCCUAAAAUGGAGUCGGGAAAACUCUCAGCUAAAUUUUGCCCUUCUUCUUCACUGGGU